Molecule: ribosomal RNA, 283 nt
Filed under: uncultured Lachnospiraceae bacterium
Lineage: Bacteria; Bacillati; Bacillota; Clostridia; Lachnospirales; Lachnospiraceae
Description: partial 16S ribosomal RNA
Rfam family: Bacterial small subunit ribosomal RNA
Source: RNAcentral
UGGGGAAUAUUGGACAAUGGGCGAAAGCCUGAUCCAGCGACGCCGCGUGAGCGAAGAAGUAUUUCGGUAUGUAAAGCUCUAUCAGCAGGGAAGAAAAUGACGGUACCUGACUAAGAAGCCCCGGCUAACUACGUGCCAGCAGCCGCGGUAAUACGUAGGGGGCAAGCGUUAUCCGGAUUUACUGGGUGUAAAGGGAGCGUAGACGGCAGUGCAAGCCAGAAGUGAGAGCCCGGGGCUUAACCCCGGGACUGCUUUUGAAACUGUGCAGCUGGAGUGCAGGGAG